This 253-nucleotide ribosomal RNA is filed under the name uncultured bacterium. Its description in RNAcentral is "partial 16S ribosomal RNA". It matches the Rfam family "Bacterial small subunit ribosomal RNA", at positions 524 to 776 of the family's 1533-position model. The record is from RNAcentral.
GACGUAGGGCGCGAGCGUUGUCCGGAUUUAUUGGGCGUAAAGAGCUCGUAGGCGGCUUGUCGCGUCGACUGUGAAAACUUGGGGCUCAACCCCAAGCCUGCGGUCGAUACGGGCAGGCUCGAGUUCGGUAGGGGAGACUGGAAUUCCUGGUGUAGCGGUGAAAUGCGCAGAUAUCAGGAGGAACACCGGUGGCGAAGGCGGCUCUCUGGGCAACAACUGACGCUGAGGAGCGAAAGCGUGGGGAGCGAACAGG